GCAUCGAUGAAGAACGCAGCGAAAUGCGAUAAGUAGUGUGAAUUGCAGAAUUCAGUGAAUCAUCGAAUCUUUGAACGCACAUUGCGCCCCUUGGUAUUCCAUGGGGCAUGCCUGUUCGAGCGUCAUUUGUACCUUCAAGCUCUGCUUGGUGUUGGGUGUUUGUCUCGCCUCUGCGCGUAGACUCGCCUCAAAACAAUUGGCAGCCGGCGUAUUGAUUUCGGAGCGCAGUACAUCUCGCGCUUUGCAUUCAGAACGACGACGUCCAAAAGUACAUUUUUACACUCUUGACCUCGGAUCAGGUAGGGAUACCCGCUGAAGUUAAGCAUAUCAAUAAGCGGAGGA
RNAcentral lists this ribosomal RNA (342 nucleotides) under uncultured fungus. RNAcentral describes it as "eukaryotic LSU rRNA". The stretch from base 1 to 125 matches the Rfam family "5.8S ribosomal RNA", at positions 30 to 154 of the family's 154-position model. Lineage: Eukaryota; Fungi. The record is from RNAcentral.